This 266-nucleotide small RNA is filed under the name Castor canadensis (American beaver). RNAcentral describes it as "7SK RNA (ENSCCNG00000019057.1)". The stretch from base 1 to 198 matches the Rfam family "7SK RNA". Rfam says of the family: 7SK was discovered as an abundant small nuclear RNA in the mid-70s but a possible function has only recently been suggested. Two independent studies have found that 7SK RNA binds the CDK9/cyclin T complex (known as elongation factor P-TEFb). Lineage: Eukaryota; Metazoa; Chordata; Mammalia; Rodentia; Castoridae. The record is from RNAcentral.
GGAUGGGAGGGCGAUCUGGUUGUGAUAUCUGGUACCCCAUUCAUCAUCAGGAGUGAUUUAGCUGAUCUGGCUGGGUAGACGGGUGUCCCCUUCCUCCCUCACUGCUCCAUGUGCAUCCCUCCUGAAGCCACGCACUCGGUCGAAGAGGACGACCACCCCCGAUAGAGGAGGGCCGUUCUUCAGUCAAGGGUACAACCUCCAAAAAACUCUCAAAACCCAGAGAAUGGGACUUGCUCAAAACCAAAUAAAGACUCAGAGAUCAGUUU